CCUACGGGAGGCUGCAGUGAGGAAUAUUGGUCAAUGGACGAGAGUCUGAACCAGCCAAGUAGUGUGAAGGAUGACUGCCCUAUGGGUUGUAAACUUCUUUUAUAAAGGAAUAAAACGAGGCACGUGUGCCUUUUUGCAUGUACUUUAUGAAUAAGGAUCGGCUAACUCCGUGCCAGCAGCCGCGGUAAUACGGAGGAUCCGAGCGUUAUCCGGAUUUAUUGGGUUUAAAGGGAGCGUAGAUGGGUUGUUAAGUCAGUUGUGAAAGUUUGCGGCUCAACCGUAAAAUUGCAAUUGAUACUGGCAGUCGUGAGUACAGUUGAGGUAGGCGGAAUUGGUGGUGUAGCGGUGAAAUGCUUAGAUAUCACGAAGAACCCCGAUUGCGAAGGCAGCUUACUAAACUGUGACUGACAUUGAUGCUCGAAAGUGUGGGUAUCAAACAGGAUUAGAUACCCUAGUAGUC
Molecule: ribosomal RNA, 460 nt
Filed under: uncultured bacterium
Lineage: Bacteria
Description: partial 16S ribosomal RNA
Rfam family: Bacterial small subunit ribosomal RNA
Source: RNAcentral